GAUGAACGCUGGCGGCGUGCCUAAUACAUGCAAGUCGAGCGAACGGACGAGAAGCUUGCUUUUCUGAUGUUAGCGGCGGACGGGUGAGUAACACGUGGAUAACCUACCUAUAAGACUGGGAUAACUUCGGGAAACCGGAGCUAAUACCGGAUAAUAUUUUGAACCGCAUGGUUCAAAAGUGAAAGACGGUCUUGCUGUCACUUAUAGAUGGAUCCGCGCUGCAUUAGCUAGUUGGUAAGGUAACGGCUUACCAAGGCAACGAUGCAUAGCCGACCUGAGAGGGUGAUCGGCCACACUGGAACUGAGACACGGUCCAGACUCCUGAGGGAGGCAGCAGUAGGGAAUCUUCCGCAAUGGGCGAAAGCCUGACGGAGCAACGCCGCGUGAGUGAUGAAGGUCUUCGGAUCGUAAAACUCUGUUAUUAGGGAAGAACAUAUGUGGAAGUAACUGUGCACAUCUUGACGGUACCUAAUCAGAAAGCCACGGCUAACUACGUG
This 497-nucleotide ribosomal RNA is filed under the name uncultured bacterium. RNAcentral's name for it is "partial 16S ribosomal RNA". It matches the Rfam family "Bacterial small subunit ribosomal RNA", at positions 28 to 507 of the family's 1533-position model. The record is from RNAcentral.